AGAGGAAGAUCAGCCACACUGGGACUGAGACACGGCCCAGACUCCUACGGGAGGCAGCAGUUGGGAAUCUUGGACAAUGGGGGAAACCCUGAUCCAGCCAUGCCGCGUGAGUGAUGAAGGCCUUCGGGUUGUAAAACUCUUUCGCGCACGACGAUAAUGACGGUAGUGCGAGAAGAAGCUCCGGCUAACUUCGUGCCAGCAGCCGCGGUAAUACGAAGGGGGCUAGCGUUGUUCGGAAUUACUGGGCGUAAAGCGCGCGCAGGCGGCUAUCCAAGUCAGUGGUGAAAGCCCGGAGCUCAACUCCGGAACUGCCAUUGAAACUGUUUAGCUUGAGUAUGAGAGAGGUGAGUGGAAUUCCCAGUGUAGAGGUGAAAUUCGUAGAUAUUGGGAAGAACACCGGUGGCGAAGGCGGCUCACUGGCUCAUUACUGACGCUCAGGCGCGACAGCGUGGGGAUCAAACAGGAUUAGAUACCCUGGUAGUCCACGCCGUAAACGAUGAUUGCUAGCCGUUGGACAGCUUGCUGUUCAGUGGCGCAGCUAACGCAUUAAGCAAUCCGCCUGGGGAGUACGGCCGC
RNAcentral lists this ribosomal RNA (576 nucleotides) under uncultured bacterium. Its description in RNAcentral is "bacterial SSU rRNA". It matches the Rfam family "Bacterial small subunit ribosomal RNA", at positions 295 to 889 of the family's 1533-position model. The record is from RNAcentral.